GAUGAAGAACGCAGCGAAAUGCGAUAAGUAAUGUGAAUUGCAGAAUUCAGUGAAUCAUCGAAUCUUUGAACGCACAUUGCGCCCGUCAGUAUUCUGGCGGGCAUGCCUGUUCGAUCGUCAUUACGCCCCUCAAGUCCCCUGUGGACUUGGUGUUGGGGAUCGGCGAGGCUGGUUUUCCAGCACAGCCGUCCCUUAAAUUAAUUGGCGGUCUCGCCGUGGCCCUCCUCUGCGCAGUAGUAAAACACUCGCAACAGGAGCCCGGCGCGGUCCACUGCCGUAAAACCCCCCAACUUUUUAUAGUUGACCUCGAAUCAGGUAGGACUACCCGCUGAACUUAAGCAUAUCAAUAAGCGGAGGA
RNAcentral lists this unclassified non-coding RNA (358 nucleotides) under soil metagenome. RNAcentral describes it as "partial contains 5.8S ribosomal RNA, internal transcribed spacer 2, and large subunit ribosomal RNA". The stretch from base 1 to 120 matches the Rfam family "5.8S ribosomal RNA", at positions 35 to 154 of the family's 154-position model. The record is from RNAcentral.